AAAGGGAGCGUAGGCGGGUCGUUAAGUUGGGGGUGAAAUCCCGGGGCUCAACCUCGGAACUGCCUUCGAUACUGGCGACCUUGAGUAUGGGAGAGGUGAGUGGAACUCCGAGUGUAGAGGUGAAAUUCGUAGAUAUUCGGAAGAACACCAGUGGCGAAGGCGACUCACUGGCCCAUUACUGACGCUGAGGCUCGAAAGCGUGGGGAGCAAACAGGAUUAGAUACCCCUGU
This 230-nucleotide ribosomal RNA is filed under the name uncultured bacterium. Its description in RNAcentral is "partial 16S ribosomal RNA". It matches the Rfam family "Bacterial small subunit ribosomal RNA", at positions 562 to 791 of the family's 1533-position model. The record is from RNAcentral.